GUAGUCCAGCCGUAAACGAUGCUCGCUAGGUGUCUGGGACGGUGCGACCGUUUCAGGUGCCGCAGGGAAGCCGUGAAGCGAGCCACCUGGGAAGUACGGCCGCAAGGCUGAAACUUAAAGGAAUUGGCGGGGGAGCACUACAACGGGUGGAGCCUGCGGUUUAAUUGGACUCAACGCCGGAAAACUCACCUGGGGCGACAGCAAUAUGUAGGUCAGGCUGAAGGUCUUACCUGAAUCGCUGAGAGGAGGUGCAUGGCCGUCGUCAGUUCGUACUGUGAAGCAUCCUGUUAAGUCAGGCAACGAGCGAGACCCGUGCCCACUGUUGCCAGCAUAUCCUUCGGGAUGAUGGGUACUCUGUGGGGACCGCUGGUGCUAAACCAGAGGAAGGUGCGGGCUACGGUAGGUCAGUAU
This 411-nucleotide ribosomal RNA is filed under the name bacterium 060620-Aspo-KJ0052F01-K5-HM 1-1 10X 1A. RNAcentral's name for it is "bacterial SSU rRNA". It matches the Rfam family "Archaeal small subunit ribosomal RNA", at positions 741 to 1152 of the family's 1478-position model. The record is from RNAcentral.